RNAcentral lists this ribosomal RNA (1089 nucleotides) under Triticum aestivum (bread wheat). RNAcentral's name for it is "partial small subunit ribosomal RNA". The record is from RNAcentral. Lineage: Eukaryota; Viridiplantae; Streptophyta; Magnoliopsida; Poales; Poaceae.
AUGAUAAGGAGCUACUGGUGGGGUUCAGAGAAUGGGAAACGAAGGACGCACUGGAUUGCAUGGGAGAAAUUACUACGCCCAAAGAAUCAAGGUGGCCCGGGUUUCCGAGAUAUGAGGCUUUUUAACCAAGCUCUAUUAGCUCGUCAAGCAUGGCGUUUAAUUGAUAGACCUGAGAGUCUAUGCACGAGGCUACUUAAAGCGAGAUACUAUAGACACGGCAAUCUAAUUGACACUGUCUUCACGGGCAAUGCGUCUCCUGUAUGGCGAGGAAUUGAGCAUGGGCUGGAAUUGUUGAAGCAAGGCAUUAUAUGGAGAAUUGGUAAUGGUAAAAAAGUCAGGGUUUGGAGGGACCCGUGGAUACCACGUGCGGGCUCUUGUAAGCCACUUGGAGAGCGAGGAAGCUGCAGGUACAGCCGGGUGGCUGAUUUUAUAUCACUAGAGGGUUCUUGGAAUGAAGAACGCCUAAGACAGUACAUGGUAGGUGCGGAUGUACAAGAGAUUCUGAAGAUUAAAGUGUCUCGCAGAGCAAGAGAGGAUUUUUUGGCUUGGAAUCUGGAGAAAGAUGGGAGAUUUUCAGUCAGGAGUGCCUACCACAUUGCAGUUAAUCAGAUUCAGAACCAUGGUGGGGUUUCGACAAGUUCGAGACCAGAUGGGGACCGACCCGUGUGGAGAAUGUUCUGGAAAAUCCAAGUUCCCCAAAAAGUGAAGAUAUGUGCGUGGAAGAUGCUAAAGAAAGGGCUCCCCACACGCCAGGUUAAGAAAUCUAAACACUUGGACGUGGUUGAUGAGUGUCCGAGAUGUGGCCGGGGGACCGAGGAUAGCUUUCAUGCUGUUGUUGCAUGCCCUACCUCCAGUGCUGUAUGGGAUGCUAUGGGUGAAGUGUGGACUGUUCCAGCGAAGGAGACGAUUAGGAACACUGGUGAUGAGUGGUUGUUCGAUCUGUUGGUAACCAUCCAGGAAGAAGAACGUGCUAAAGUUCUGAUGAUAGUUUGGAGAAACUGGCAGCUUCGUAAUGAUUCCAUGCAUGACAAGACGGUGCCUCCGGUCAAGGUGUCCAGGGAUUUUUUCAAAGCUAUAUGGUCUCACUAA